AUUGAACGCUGGCGGCAGGCCUAACACAUGCAAGUCGAACGAGUGGCGGACGGGUGAGUAAUGUCUGGGAAACUGCCUGAUGGAGGGGGAUAACUACUGGAAACGGUAGCUAAUACCGCAUAUCAUCGGAUGUGCCCAGCUGGGAUUAGCUAGUAGGUGGGGUAAAGGAUCACCUAGGCGACGAUCCCUAGCUGGGCUGAGAGGAUGGCCAUCCAAACUGGAACUGAGAUACGGUCCAGACUCGUACGGGAGGCAGCAGUGGGGAGUAUUGCACAAUGGGCGCAAGCCUGAUGCAGCCAUGCCGAGUGUAGGGAGAAGGCCGUCGGGUUGUAAAGUACUUUCAGCGGGGAGGCGUUACCCGCAGAAGAAGCACCGGCUAACUCCGUGCCAGCAGCCGCGGUAAUUC
This 406-nucleotide ribosomal RNA is filed under the name uncultured bacterium. RNAcentral's name for it is "partial 16S ribosomal RNA". It matches the Rfam family "Bacterial small subunit ribosomal RNA", at positions 30 to 526 of the family's 1533-position model. The record is from RNAcentral.